AGCAAUAUUCCGCCAGCUUCAUUUCGUGCAGUGAGUGGAACAAGAGUCAGAACACCAGGGCGGCUGAGCCUGUCGAUCAAGCCUCCACGUAAUGACAGAUGUACUUGAGUCCCACAGUCAUAAGGAGGAUGAAGUCUUCUCCUGGCUGGACCUGGACUGCAGUCACACUGUAAGAGCUCCUCCUUCUACACCUCUGCCAGUGGGCGUUCGGUCAGAGACAAGCUAUGGCACCGGCUCCCGGACGCACGGGAGGACUCCUACCAGGGACAGAGUCCGCACAG
Molecule: long non-coding RNA, 281 nt
Filed under: Pan troglodytes (chimpanzee)
Lineage: Eukaryota; Metazoa; Chordata; Mammalia; Primates; Hominidae
Description: lincRNA
Source: RNAcentral